AAUGGCAGGUCAGCAUACUGCCGUGAAUACUUCCCGGGCCCGUUGUACACACCGCCCGUCCACACCAUGAGAGUUGGGAAUACCCGAAGCCUGUGAGCUAACUGUAAGGAGGCAGCAGUCGAAGGUAGAAUCAAUGAUUGGGGUGAAGUCGUAACAAGGUAGC
Molecule: ribosomal RNA, 163 nt
Filed under: uncultured bacterium
Lineage: Bacteria
Description: partial 16S ribosomal RNA
Rfam family: Bacterial small subunit ribosomal RNA
Source: RNAcentral